Molecule: ribosomal RNA, 437 nt
Filed under: uncultured bacterium
Lineage: Bacteria
Description: bacterial SSU rRNA
Rfam family: Bacterial small subunit ribosomal RNA
Source: RNAcentral
GAUGAACGCUGGCGGUAUGCCUAACACAUGCAAGUCGUACGAGAGUUUUUAACUCUAGUGGCGGACGGGUGAGUAACACGUGAGAAUUUGCCUUUAGGAGGGGGAUAACAAUUGGAAACGAAUGCUAAUACCCCAUAUGCUUUUGAGUGAAAUGGAUUUUAUCCGCCUAGAGAGAAGCUCGCGGCUGAUUAGCUUGUUGGUAAGGUAAGAGCUUACCAAGGCGACGAUCAGUAUCUGGUUUGAGAGGACGAUCAGACACACUGGAACUGAGACACGGUCCAGACUCCUACGGGAGGCAGCAGUGGGGAAUUUUCCGCAAUGGGCGAAAGCCUGACGGAGCAAUACCGCGUGAGGGAAGAAUGCCUAUGGGUUGUAAAGCUCUUUUACCCGAGAUGAUAAUGACAGUAUCGGGAGAAUAAGCUCCGGCUAACUCCGUG